Molecule: ribosomal RNA, 253 nt
Filed under: uncultured bacterium
Lineage: Bacteria
Description: partial 16S ribosomal RNA
Rfam family: Bacterial small subunit ribosomal RNA
Source: RNAcentral
UACAUAGGUGGCAAGCGUUGUCCGGAUUUAUUGGGUUUAAAGGGUGCGUAGGCGGCCCUGUAAGUCAGUGGUGAAAUACUCCAGCUUAACUGGAGGGGUGCCAUUGAUACUGCAGGGCUUGAGUGGAGUCGAAGUAGGCGGAAUUGACGGUGUAGCGGUGAAAUGCUUAGAUAUCGUCAAGAACACCGAUAGUGAAGACAGCUUACUAGGCUUCUACUGACGCUGAGGCACGAAAGUGUGGGGAUCAAACAGG